RNAcentral lists this ribosomal RNA (497 nucleotides) under uncultured bacterium. RNAcentral describes it as "partial 16S ribosomal RNA". It matches the Rfam family "Bacterial small subunit ribosomal RNA", at positions 28 to 507 of the family's 1533-position model. The record is from RNAcentral.
GACGAACGCUGGCGGCGUGCCUAAUACAUGCAAGUUGAGCGAUGAAGAUUGGUGCUUGCACCAAUUUGAAGAGCAGCGAACGGGUGAGUAACGCGUGGGGAAUCUGCCUUUGAGCGGGGGACAACAUUUGGAAACGAAUGCUAAUACCGCAUAACAACUUUAAACGUAAGUUUUAAGUUUGAAAGAUGCAAUUGCAUCACUCAAAGAUGAUCCCGCGUUGUAUUAGCUAGUUGGUGAGGUAAAGGCUCACCAAGGCGAUGAUACAUAGCCGACCUGAGAGGGUGAUCGGCCACAUUGGGACUGAGACACGGCCCAAACGCCUACGGGAGGCAGCAGUAGGGAAUCUUCGGCAAUGGACGAAAGUCUGACCGAGCAACGCCGCGUGAGUGAAGAAGGUUUUCGGAUCGUAAAACUCUGUUGGUAGAGAAGAACGUUGGUGAGAGUGGAAAGCUCAUCAAGUGACGGUAACUACCCAGAAAGGGACGGCUAACUACGUG